UACGUAGGGGGCAAGCGUUGUCCGGAUUUAUUGGGCGUAAAGAGCGUGUAGGCGGUUAGGUAGGUCCGUUGUGAAAACUCGAGGCUCAACCUCGAGACGCCGAUGGAAACCAUCUGACUAGAGUCCGGAAGAGGAGAGUGGAAUUCCUGGUGUAGCGGUGAAAUGCGCAGAUAUCAGGAGGAACACCGAUUGCGAAGGCAGCUCGCUGGGACGUUACUGACGCUGAGACGCGAAAGCGUGGGGAGCAAACAGG
Molecule: ribosomal RNA, 253 nt
Filed under: uncultured bacterium
Lineage: Bacteria
Description: partial 16S ribosomal RNA
Rfam family: Bacterial small subunit ribosomal RNA
Source: RNAcentral